CGGAGGGGGCUAGCGUUGUUCGGAAUUACUGGGCGUAAAGCGCACGUAGGCGGACCAGAAAGUUGGGGGUGAAAUCCCGGGGGCUCGAACCUCGGGAACUGCCUUCAAAACUAUUGGUCUUGAGUUUCGAGAGAGGUGAGUGGAAUUCCGAGUGUAGAGGUGAAAUUCGUAGAUAUUCGGAGGACACCAGUGGCGAAGGCGGCUCACUGGCUCGAUACUGACGCUGAGGUGCGAAAGCGUGGGGAGCAAACAGGAUU
RNAcentral lists this ribosomal RNA (257 nucleotides) under uncultured bacterium. Its description in RNAcentral is "partial 16S ribosomal RNA". It matches the Rfam family "Bacterial small subunit ribosomal RNA", at positions 526 to 779 of the family's 1533-position model. The record is from RNAcentral.